Gasterosteus aculeatus aculeatus (three-spined stickleback) is the source of this 21381-nucleotide long non-coding RNA. NCBI's taxonomy places the organism in Eukaryota, Metazoa, Chordata, Actinopteri, Perciformes, Gasterosteidae. The record is from Ensembl.
GUUGCUCAUAGCGUGACAUCAGAUAAUAUAAAAUAUUGUCACAAUAUAGUUCUGUCAAUGUCAUAAAAAUAUGAUAUUAUACUAUGCCACUAAAAAAAUCAAGAAAAACGUUUUCAAAUGAUUUGACAUGAAAAAAAAAGAAAAAUUAAAACUCUUAGGUCAAAAAGUGUGCAGAAAAAAAGUCAUGGUACAUUAGAUUGAAAAAUAUCAUGGGAAAAAAAAUAAAAAAAACAUUAGGUCAAAAAAGGCCAUGGAAAAAGCAUAAAUAAUUUAUGUAAAAAAAUAUAUUAGGUCAAACAAUCUUAUGGAAAGGAAAUUUUAAAUACAUCAGGUCAAACAUUUUUAUGGAAGAUGAAGUCAAAAUAUAUUAGGUCGAAAAAUGUAAUAGAAGAAAAAGCCUAAAUAUAUGAGGUUGAAAAUUGGAUAAAAGUCCAGAUACAUACAAGAUAAAAGUAUGACAAACCAUGCUAUGAUUUCUAUGACUUUUUCAUGAUGAUAUUCAUUACAUUUCGAAGAUAUUGCUAUGGCAUUAUUUCAAAGAUUUAUCAUAUAUUAUGACAUGUUUCAUGAGCUGCUAUUUUAUGAGAUUUUCACAAAAAUAUUAUUGCAUGCUUUACUAUGACUUUUUAUGAGUUUUUUUAUGACACACUAUAUCAUGACAUUACAUUGCAUACUAAUCAUCCCGAAGCCACAAUCAAAGUAUCUGGAUCCUUUUGUUUUUCUUUAUCGGUUUAUUCCUCAUUCCCAUUUCGUCCAGCAUCCGCUGCUUGUCUUACAUCUCCAGUCGCCUGUGUGGCUUUUUGGCUGCUUCCCCACUAUUUUCUUGAGGAUGGAGACACAAAAGAUAACAAAUGAGCUCCUGAAAUGGGUUGUAAUUACAGCUUCUGGAACUAUUAAGUUCUGGACAUCAGAGAUAAUGGUAUUCUUGGGAAGCGUAAAUCACACCUAAUGGUGUCCGAAUGACCAUGUCUAUUACAAACCAUAACCAAUCAUUUCCUAGUUCAUAAGAAAGCUUAAGAGAGCCCUGAAUAUAAGAUAUUUCAUAUGCUCUCAAUAUUCAACAACAUUAAACACAACACAGCUGGUAAUGACAAAAAUAUACCUCCUUUAAAGCUUCAGCACCAAGAAGAUGUCUUCUCUGCUGGUCUGUAUAAUGGCCCUCUUCUGGACAUCGAUCCAGGUCGCAUAUCUAAAAGUGUGACAAGAAAAGCAGCUUUUCUAGCAUGCAAAAUAACAGUUACGUAAAAAUCAUUCCAAGACAAUGCAGUUUAAUGAAACGUAUUUUAUGAGUUCACUUCCUGCUUCUGAUACUGACAUGCAGAUACACUAUAAGUAUAAGUAAAACAUCUGAACAGUUCUCCUUGGUAACAUCUUAGUACUGUGCUUCAUACAAGUCCUUGUUCAAGGCUGUGAAAAUACCCCCGGAUGGAUGAAAUGGUUUCACUCCAGAUAGUAGCUUUCGUAGACAUUCAUGACCACGCUUGUGCGGACACACAAACGCACACCCACACACACACAUGCACGUACGCACACUGACAGCCUGAAAGAUGGGUGAGCUUGAAAGGAGGCUUGGGACUGGGGGGAGGGACGAAAGGAAAAGGAGAUUGGAGCAGAAGGCGACCGGUGAGCUACUGAGAUAUAAACAGGUGAAUGAUUUUCUGUUCCCUUCCAGAUUGUUUCCUCAUCUCUCAACCAGACCCGGCCCUCAGAGAGAUGAGCUGGGCCGCCAGUCCCUUCCUAAAGCGACGCUGGUAAACUAUGUGGCACAGACGUUUUGCUCAACCACUGUCGCUUCUUCUCCGUGCGCCACUGGCCAAGCUGGUAACAUGCACAGGCCUCUGAAUCGCAUUAGCUGUGGGGUUGUUGUUAACUGAUACAAGCAGAAGCCCUUCUUCAAGUAGUGCAACCUUUGUGUGCACGGAUCCCUCAGGCAGACAUGCACAUGAUUUGGACUGCAAGCGAAAACAUGAGUGUCCCGGAGGAACAAACACUCUGACCUUUACAAAGAUUCAUUUUUUUCCCCCCUCAAAGCGAUUUUGUAUCUUCUCCAUUUUCCAUUUCAUUUGGCAGGCUGAAAAGUAAUAAAUAAAGGGGGAUUUGAAGAGACAUCCAAGAGUGUUUUUUUUUCUCCAUUUGUUUAGUAGAUCGAAUCAGAGUUACUCCAUGGACAACAAUGCAGCCACUGCAUAGAGACCACGACACGUUUCUGAUAGAGGGAGUGUACAAUAUCAUGACGUAAAUAUUUUGUGUGAGAUGACAAAUUUAAAGUCAAAUAUUUGAAUAAAAGUUUGCUAAUGCAACUGCUCACACUUUCACACUCUUCCCAAUAUGCGUGAGCUCGUGCUUGCUUGCAUAUGGUAAGCAAAUCCUUUAAACCUGGAGGUGUCUAAUCUUUUAUGUGUUUUACAAUUAGAACUCCCCCUCCGGGAUUACAUCUGCUUAGAGGAAAAAAAGUUGUUUGUUUCCAGGUAAAAUUAGAAACUACCAAAUACAAGAUGUUUAAACAGGGAUUUGUGUAGCGAGUGAGGCUCUAUUCUGUCCCGUCUACAGUAAAAAGACCAAGUGAACCAACAGGCCAAGACAACAGCCAGCCUUUCACACGGAGCGGCAUUGACACCUCUCUGGGCCCGUCUCCAAGCUGCCAGUCCCAACUAGCCAGUCGCCUCCCCUCCAUCCAUAUCAUUGACUCGCCACUGACUUCAGCGCACUUUUGCCAAGCCCCUCUGAAAUGACGCAUUGUGCCUGGGGAGUUAUCAGAGAGGACAAUAUUCUCCUGAAACAGUCCUAAAGUGGACUUCAGAGAAAGGACCUGCCUGCUUUACUUUCUCUCUGCGGUUGCUAGGCUAGUUCCCCACACAGGAUCACUGGGGCCUUUAUGGGCGGCUGGCACCGACCCAGCCCCCCCCCCCCUUUGCCUCGGACUGUGAGUAGAAGAGAGAGUGGGCGCCGGAGGGAAAAGCCCUCCUCUCACUCAGGGUGGCGUGCUAGGACUUCCAAUGUUCCCGUGCCCACCUUCACUCCCACUGGCAUUCCCACAAGUGUGUCUGAUGGCUGGUUCCUGCGGCCCCGCUCCCGGGCUCUGACCUCAAUCCGUCUCGUUAAACCGUAAUUGGAAAUGAGCCGGCCGUUUACCUCGCCGGAUAUAUAUCUGUGAACCCGCCCUCCUCUGGGAAAUCGGCACCUGCGUGCUCCCUUUAUGAAUCAAACGCUGGGAUUUCUCACCUACCGCUAAACUCAUCUAGGCAGAUCUGAGGUUUUCACCGUCGCCGAGGUAUAUUUCAGAGAGCUCGCCCCAAGGCGCUACUUUACGGCUCAGGAGACAGAGGGGCGAAAUGACACUCGCUCCCACACUUUAUUCUUUGAGAUGAUGUAUUAGGGUGGGAUGCCAUACUCUGCACUGCAGCGGUUCGCCAUCAUUAUUCAUCGGUAUGAAUGAUUUGUAAUCAAUGCUUGCUGGUUUGCUGUUCAUUUUGGGAUAGGAGUCAUACUUCUGCUCAAUAUCUGGCUGUGCUGCAUUUCACACGAGGGAGUUUCCCGUUGCCAGAACAAAGGGGGAUUCUGGUUACCCUGAAGGCAACACUGGUACCAAAAGGUACAGCAGUAUCAGACUUCUGAAUGUGAAUGCUCGCGGGGUAAUCUGUGCUCAAGUGGCUCUGCCUCACCCAGAGCCCACAUUAGCAUGAAUGCAAUAAGCUCUCAAUGUCCCCAAGUCUCCUCUAUAGCAGAGACAAAGACACAUGUAGGAACAAACAAGGCGCUACGGUACAUACAGUACACAAAUACACACCAACGCACCACACUCUCUGACGCUGUCUUUCCCAUCCCUUUCAGUCUAAUCCAACCUGCAGACACGCCGCCUCCACCAGAUCGAUGGCAGUGUCCUUGGAAAUGAAACCUCAAGGUCGGCUUUCCCUAUGUUCCCCUAUACCUCUACCUGAGUCAUGGUGUCUGUUUGUAACAACUUCUUGGAGUCAACACAAUAAUCUAUCGGUUAACAAAAUGCAGAAAAAUAAUAUUAAAAGCAGAAAUAUAAAACAAUGACUCUUUCAUCUUGACUCUGAAUAUCAAAGAAGACACAGCUUUCUAUCAGGUUGAAGCACGCUGAGAUGAAUCUCAUACUUGAAUAAUAAUAAUCACAUUUUCUAAAUAUACAGCCGUGUUUAUCCCCAUGGCUGAGUCAAAUACAUAUUUAUAUGCGCAUUCCCGUACAUUCAUCCACAGUGUAAAAUGAAUAUAUAUCUAAUCCAUAUUUUGCCUCUAUUGUUUUCUAGGCAAUACAGAAUGCUACUCAGCCCUGAAAAUAAGCCACAGUGUGAGCAUUAUCAAACAGGUUGAGUCAAAUAAAGCUACGAUUGGUGUGUGAAAUUAAAUUCAUGUUUGAUCCCUCAGCACCUUUACCGUCUCAGAGAAUAUAACAUAUCUCAGUCCAUGUUUUUGGCAGUGGGGGAUACUUUGUGUGGGUAUGAGGUGGUUGCAUAUAAAAGGGACUUUUAUCAUAUUUCAGAUCUGUUACAAUCCUUUGCUAUCUGAGCAAGCAAGCUGCAAUCUACCAACACUGGGUCACUACACCAACUAAUAACAUUAAAUAUUAAAAUGUGUCCGGUUAGUAAAUUGAUCAAAAUGUAAUGGACAAUUUAACUUUCAUCAGAACGCAAAUGAAUGAUUGCAAACCGUGAUUAAUGACCACAACAAAGUCCUUCCUUAUUCCAGAAACAAGAGCUUCUUAGCCCUUCUCAAGCCAGUGGCUGACCUAUUUAAGUCUCAUAAUGAUGAUGAACUUGCCAUGCUAAUGACCAUUUCCCUAUUGCAUUAGGAAGUACUUCCUCUCACUGUGGCACAAUGGCGUUGGGUAACUGCAUAAGCCAGCAGCAGUAGUCUGACACAGAAUCAUCCGCCCACACAGCCCGGCAGGACGGAGCAAGAGGGCCACAACAAAUGACUCACUCAGGAUCAUUUUAAAUGUAAUGAACUCGCUGUAUAUUCCGGUCUGCAAACUAGGUUCCCGAUUCAACGUGAAAACAAAGACUAGAAAUAGAUUGCGAAGAUAGGAGGAUGGUAGAUAUCUCUUGGGCUGAUUAUUGUCUCCAUUUCCUUAUUCUAUGUAUGCAAACUCCAAAAACUGCCAUCAUUAAGACAGUAAAUGAGUUUUACAUCAUCUAUGUGCCGGAUUAGAGAUUUUUUGUUUAUUAACCAUUUCUAAUUAUGUGCAAGGUGUGUAAGGUAAUCUCCCCUGUCCCGCAUCCAUUAAACCUUGCAUUUUAACCCUGUGAGAUGUGAGCAAUCACUGUGUGAAUGAACAAUAAAUCCCGUUUCAGUGUUGGUGCUGUCUGUGAUUCUUGGGUUGUUUCUGAUCCACCCGUGAGACACUGUCACCGUCGAUCAGUUACUGGUCUCUCGGUUUCUCUGCCAUAUUGACAGCUGCUCUGAAGUCUCUGCUCAUCCUGAGUCCUUCAACGGAGCGGAGCGUCACAGACGUGGACAGUCCCACAACAUGGUUCUAAAGUGACGCAGACUGUCAGAGCUAGUGGAGCAGACGAGAGGAGCCGGAAACGGAUUAGUCCAUUUUGAUCUGCUUAGCUGCUACUCAGGGGAAUACAGGCAGGCCCACAUGAGUAGAUGAAGCAUACCGGAAUACUAAGGAAGGCUUGAAGGAAUUGGCUGACGCAUUGUAGAUACAAGAAAUAGACAAGCAAAGAAAACUAAGAAAGGGGAUGAGUAUGACAGACGGCAGAAACAAGUGACAUCGUGAUGAGCCCAGCCCAGUUUUGAGUAGAAGCUUGAGAUAGGGGAAGGUCACAAGUCUAAAAAGAGAUGGUGAACCUGCUUUUAACUGAGGUACCGGCUCGUAACUGAGGUACCUGCUCGUAAUUGAGGUACCUGCUCGUAAUUGAGGUACCUGCUCGUAAUUGAGGUACCUGCUCGUAAUAGAGGUACCUGCUCGUAAUAGAGGUACCUGCUUUUAACUGAGAGACCUGCUUUUAACUGAGGUACCUGCUCGUAACUGAGGUACCUGCUCGUAACUGAGGUACCGGCUUGUAACUGAGGUACCUGCUUGUAACUGAGGUACCGGCUCGUAACUGAGGUACCGGCUUGUAACUGAGGUACCUGCUCGUAACCGAUGUAACUGCGGUACCUGUUUUUAACUGGGGUACCUGCUUGUAACUGAGGUACCGGCUCGUAACUGAGGUACCGGCUUGUAACUGGGGUACCUGCUUGUAACUGGGGUACCUGCUUGUAACCGAGGUACCUGGUGAAACAUUUGUUAGGUCUAGUGAUUGCCUUGGUGGAUAAAGGGUAAUUCCGUAGCCAAACCUUUCAUCCACAGACUCAACCAAGCGUUUUUAUUAACAUGCACCCAUACAAGCAAGAAGGAAAGCAGAAACUCAGGUUCCCUCUUUUCUUCCUUUAUACUAACCAUUACUUAUCCAUUCAAUCCCAAAUGUUCACUCAGUCUCAGCCCGGACCACUGGGACGGUACUGCAACGCAUCUCCCUGACAGGAGCCAUCUGCCUGCUUCUCCCUUCCUGUCAUUAGUCCAUCUAUGAGAUGUUACCAACACAUAUCAUUGGCUGCAAUCUGUCUGUCUGCCUUUGCCGCCAAGCAAACAUCUGAACAGCUGAACUCUCUGAUGGGUGGAGGGCUGGAUAUUUUUUCUGCCCGUCUGCCUACUCAGCAACAACUCCCCCUCCUUCUCUUUAUUCCGUCCCCAGUUUCAAUUUUUUUUUUCUUCUUUCCUUUGUUUCAUCUGCAGAGUCGUAAUCUCUGAUCUUUUUUUUUGUCUCUGUCUUCUCUUGUUUCUAUUUCCUUGUUCUCGCUCCACCCCCCCUCUUGGACCUCCUCCUUUCUAUUUGCUCAUUUAUUAGCCUGUUCCUGUGAGGGAGUGAGCGAUGUGCGUGUCGCCCGUGGUGGCAGAGGGAGCAGCAGAGCUUGACGUGAACAUACGCUGUGAGAGCUCCCAUUUAUAACUUAGAACUCCAAAUGAACAAAACGCCAAAUGCAACAUGGAUGCAAUUACCUUCCGGAACUCAUUUUCAAAAGGAUGAACUAAAGUACUUGCUCUCACAAUGUGGAAAAGUCAGAAUGGAUGCUAAUGGCCCAUUGGCAAAAGAAAAUGAUAGGAAAUUGAACUUUCACGUUAAAGAGGUUAGUACUUGGACUGUGCAACAUGUUCUGCUCUCUGGCUCCAGCUCUGGCAACGUGAUGCUGAAGGAGGCACAGCCAGUUUUGCCAUCUGCAUCUCUAACCUCACGGUUCAUGUCAGCAGGCAUGUUUGCACCCCGCUCCCUUGCUCCACCAUCAUUUCUUUGUUACCUCCUCUUGCUUGGUCACAUGUGAAAAACUACUCCUGGUAAGGUGGGUUUAUAAAAUUGUUUUGAAAACCUUUUUCUUCACACAUGGUUUCUAAAGGUCUCUUAUAUUAACUUUACCUUCCCGUUGGCAGUGGGUUAUACGGAAGGGAAUCUCACGUUAACAAAUUUAGAAAAGCAGUUGGUAGAGAUUCAAAUAUAAAUCUUUCUGACUGUUUGUCUGUUUGUGAUUUCUUUGUAUGAGAACUGUUUGUCAGAUCUACUUCCCACUUGGUUGGUCUAUAGCUUUGGUAGUGCCAUUUGGGCAGAUGGGGGCGCUAUAUCAACCUUCUUUAAGUAAAUAAAGAAAAAUAGCAAUAUUACAACCAUGGCCACUGCACUAGUGCGUAAGCUUGCGAACGUGUGGCUAGAAAAGGGGACAGAGUCCAAUUAAUCCGCAAGCUUUAGUGAUCAACUCGCCAUUUGUCAGCUGUGCCUCCAUCCACCUCCCCCCAAAAUGUAAAUGGUAAGGAGGUGUCAGCAGGUUAAUUAGCAGGAAGACUAUGGUCUGGGGCUUGGAGACGGCGGAGACAAACAGGAGGCGCUCCCUCUCCUUGGCCCCUUCCUCACUGACAGAUGCUGCUACCGCCGAUGCCGCGACCCCACUCAGCACACUUCUGGAAGGAAAAAAAAAACCAAACAGACAUUUGGAGGGACAGGAAGGCAGUGAAUAGAUGACUAGGGAGAUUUUAUCUGCUCCUGAAAAGGAAUUUGUCUCGCUGUUGUUUAUGCCCAUAAAGCUCCUCAGUGGUGGAGUGGUGGUCUACGGGGCUACUUGUUUGGUGAGGUACUUUAGUGAGAGUUAGAAAGCCCCCCCACCCACCUCCUUCCCGGGGACCUUCCAUUCUGACUGACAGAUCUCAAGGUCAUUCAGCCAAGAACAACACAACCUGACUGGAGACAAUAGAAUAUUAAGUGGCAUGAGUGACGCGUGAUGGCUGUAAUUUAGUUAUAUUUAAAGUGACAGUGAGCUAUUGUGGAAAAAUCAAACCUAAGACAAAAAGGUACAGAUCAAAUGGUGUCUUUAAGCUGUGCAGUGUAGCGUGGCUUGACCACAACGGUGGUCUAUUGUGGGAGGUAUGCGGCAGGCGGGUGGAGGUACAGCCCUUUGAUAGAGUGGCUUCAUUACCUGAAGUGAAGGGCAAUCUGGCAUCAUGUAGAAAGAGAAAGAAGUAAAGAAAUAAAUGAAAAGAGGGAGAAGGGUACAUUAGUAUGGAGGGACUUCCUAUUGAAUACGAGUUUAAAACAAGCCCACUACCCUGAAGAUACAACAAGCCAUCUUUGAUGUCUUUAUUGUAAACUGCAAAUAAAGUAAAUCAUUGAGACAAAGGCUCCCUUGGAAGAUAACGGGUCUAGAAAGUCCUUAAAAAUGCUUUAUCUUUUGUGGGGGGCGGGGUCGGCGGUGGGGGGGGCCCCCUCACAAACAUGUCAGACUACACUUAUUCUACCACGACAGGUCAACUUUUUAUCUUUUCAUUGAUCUCUCUGUCUCGAGCUUCCAAUCCGGUAAACAAGAUGCUACAGGCAUUACCCUCCACGAGUGUAGCGGUUCUGGUUACAUUAUCAUGGGCACACACACACACAUAUGGAGUGGAAAAAGUAAAGCUAUACCUCCAUGGAUAAAGCUUUGUCGGUGGAGUAAUGGGCUUUCCUCAUGGCAAGGGACCAUAAUAUCCUCUAAAGGGGUUUAAGCUGCAGACUGGGGAAUGAGGAAUAUGGUGCGGCGUGGGGGAUGUGAAAUGCAGAGACAGACUGUGAAGCACCCAGGGACUGGAUUCGGUUUAGCAUCUAUGAUAAAUUGAUGUCUUUGUCUUCAUUUUCUCCUCGUUGCUGUUAUUCUCCUUCCCUGCUCCCUCUGUCCUUGCCUGUGAGAAGGCAGCCCGCUUGGCGUACUCAGCGCCGAGUAAUGAGCUUGUCUGUCAUUGCUGCUCGGCCACCGGCCACAGUUCAUUCCACUGGACGGACAGUGGGACAUGGGGGGGGUGGGGUGGUGAGCAGAAAACUAAUGGGGAUAAUCAAUGCUACUAUAUCUGAUGACUUCAUCCUCUCCCCCUGUUUGCUUUGAUUUAACGGUUCAUAGUUCCUGAGGUAAAUAAAGUGGGUGAGACAGUGAAUCAAUAGGACUGUAAAGCAUGUUGAAGAAAGCGCUGUGGUCAGUUGAAGGGAACACUGGGGAUCAGUGCGGACUGAAGGACACAAGGGCAGGCAGCCGUGAGAGAGCGAUACGCGAAAGCGUUCUCAUCUGAGCCGACCUCACGCUCGGGUGAACGGCCCCAGCGUAGAAUUACUUCUCAAUCUGAAUCAGCGCACGGGCCACUUUUCAGGUCCUCUUUCUACCCGCUCGCUUUUGUGGCUGCAAUAUUUCUCAUUAUCGCCGAACAAAAAUGCAACUCAUCUGCGAUCUCAUGAGCUACACCGUCCAAAUGAAAAGUGGCUGGAAUAGACCAAAGUGCAUUUAGAGUCACAAUCACGACUACACAUCCCCUCUUAAUUUGCGGCAACAAAGAAGAAAAACAUGAAUCAAUGGAUCAGAACAAAAGGAGUCAGCGGAGACAAUAUGUGAUCAUAAUCUUUUCUGUUGGGCUUUUUAGAGCGCGCUGUGUGUGAGGCCGGAUGCUCCUAACAAGGCAUGGCAUUUAGAAAGAAUAAUAGGAACCUAGUGUGUUCUCCUCGUGGGCUGGUGCGGCACAAUUCCAUUAGCCGUCCUCCUCCAGCUGAGAACUCUCUGUCUGUCAUUCAUCACCAGCUGCAGCACAACGCGGUAACAACGGCGAUGGAAAUCAAGCCUCCUCCGUGUGUCUCUCCGACUCUCUGAGCCUCCCAAACUUUCUCCAUCAUAAUCAACCUCUAAUUCCUGCAGUAUUCCAUUCCAUGAGCGAAUAACGGAUGGUAAAUAACGUCCUUUCAUGACAAGCUGCUUCCUCUUGGUUCUACAAUUUACAAAGAGGAAGGGCUGAAUGGCAACACCGGUGGCAGCGCCUCCACUUCAAUCCACUGAAACUGUCACAACUUUUGCCGCGAAAGUUAUCAUUUCAAAUGGCUAUUCUAGGAGAGAGCGACCUUCACACAGGAUCUCUCUCUCUGUGAGGGCAGUGUGUAAAGCACCUUUUCCCCUCUGCGCCACGCCGAGCUGCUUUGUGUCUCCAUGAAAAAGAACACGCAACAGAGUGUAACUCAGUGAUGGAGUUUCCACACGCAGAGCUUCUGUAAAAUACUCUUUGAACACUUGCAGCUGCUCCUCUCUCUCUCUCCGUCUCUCUCUCCCCGUCUCGCUCUUUUGCUGUGUGUGUUUCUUAUUAUUUCCUUCUCGCUCUGUGACUCUCACCUUAUUUUUCUAUCUAGGAAUUCCUCUCUUUCCCAUUUGCUCCUCCUGCCUUUCCUGGGUCUCCGUUUGCCGUUUGAGUGACAGAUUUGGUUUGGGGUUCUGACGCUGAAAGCGCCGGUUCUAUUUCACGGGUUUCACUCUGAUCCAGUUGGGGUCGUGACUCUGACAGCCGGAGUGUGAUCUGAUCCUGGUCUCCACCAUGGUUACGUUCUGUCUGCGCGCCUGGAGGUCACGUAUUCCAGCGUUGCUCCCAGCAGAUGUCAAACACAAAGACAGGUUCUGCAGACGCACAGCGGACAGCCAACUUAAUAAAAGUCACUGUGGGGAAAAAGAGCGUCACAAACGCACACAUGUGUACACGUUCUUAAUCGCCAAGUUGAAAGAAAUCGACAAUAUUCUCCGGCCGCCGUGCGCUUGUUAAGUGUAAAAAAAUGUGUGUGCGUGCACGAGAAUAUACCUCACCGGCUCUCUUGUGGGCCACUGGAUGGCCAUAAACACAAGGACACGUUAAAUAACAGUCUCAAUGUGAGGGGGGGGGGAGCCUGGUCCCAGAGAGGCCGUGCGUCCAUGUGCGUGCAAUGGGGAGGAGAGCCUUUGGGGGGCCGGGGGGGCAGAGCGGCCCCUGGCAGCUCGGAGGGAGAGACGGUCCAAACGGUCCUUUUGGCCCAUUGUUAGGCGGGAUAAUCCAAAAUCUGGCAACCAGCAGCAGCGCCGUGUGGUCCUGUCAAAACACAGAGGAAGAAGAUGGAGCGAAGACCGGAGUAGAGUAUCCUGGCUACGGCGGAUGCCUGAGAAACAUCACAACUGCAGGACAUAAGACUGUGUGGCGGAUAACUGGAAAAUGAACCGCUGAAUGUUUUUUAUAUAUCAGUGAGAACUACAUGCUCAUAUUUAUGCGUAUUCAUAUAUACAAAGAUGUUUGUGUAGGCGUUUGCAAGGAUGGUUUCAAAGAAAAAUGUGCAUUUUAGUUUGUGUGUGUGUGCGCAGGGUGGAAUUCCGGUAAAUAAAGAUUGCCGGGUGAAAUUGCUCCGACAAGCACCGACUGAAUCCGCCUCUAAGUGAGUGCGAAGGACAGUGCGAUAUGCAGCGAGAGAGACGAGAUUGUACCACAUUUCCGCAACCUCGGGGAAUGUCCACUGCUCCAGCUCGUGAACACAACAAGGAAAAAAAAAACAACAACGCGUGACCUACAUGCAUAACAACCCUAAAUCCUCCCAUUCAAGUGGCUGAUGUGAGCUGACAGUGCUGGAAUAGGUGGCAGGAAAACCAGAAGGGACGAUAACUCUUCAACCCAUGUCAGGUCACGUGUUACUUCCUCCACGUGUCACAGGGAAACAGGGAAGAGGUGAGUCACCAGAGCUGGCGGUUGAUGCAUAGCGUGUCCUAAAGUGUGCCCCCCUUGUACCCCUGUGUUUGUGCGUGCUUGUGCUCAAGCCAGCCGCAGAGUGUCUCUGAUGGCUUUCAGACGCAUAUGUUUGUUCUCCACUAGGCUCAAUAUAAAUGAUCCAGCCAAGCGGCGCUCUCAUCGCUCACGGGCUGAGCUCCUGUACCAUUACUCAGCCCCGAUCGUCCGGAUCACCUCGCCACUCCCAGCGAGAGACGGCAGGGGGACAAAUGAGCGGAGAUAAACAACCAAACAGCCAAAUUUAAAGUGGAGCGACGAGAGCGGGAGGAGCGGGGAAAGGGGGAGGAGCGAAGAUACGACGAAUGGGGGAGAUGAGAGAGCGAUGGAAUGUAAAUCAUUUACCUGGAGAACCGUACUGUUUAUUCUCCCGUUUGUCUCGGGAGAAAAUAACUAAUUGAUCUGUCCAUUGUGUGAUUACCUCUCAUCACGGCUUGAUUGACUGGCUGUCACAUGCACUCACUCUCUCCGAGUGCUCCAACGCCCAGUGCAUCCGUCACUAUCACACCGCACGCGGCGUGUACGGGCGCGUGCGCCCAAACGCAGCGGCCCUGACAGGCACCUAUCACACCGCAGCUUCACUACGCUCCCCCCUGGGGACGCCGGGAGGGGAGGCAGAUAUAGAAGUGGGGGGGGUUUGACAAAUGACGACGCCAUUGUUUGGAUGGGAAAUGUCAAGACUGGGAGCGUCCCGGGCCUGCCGACACAUUGUGGGGUACGGGAUGUAAGGGAUGUCACGGCGGAGGAGGAAGGGGAGGGGGGGUGUUCCAGAGACAAACGCCGGGACGUGGCGGAUACACUUGAAGGCCGGUCAUCGAGCGUUCAUGACUGACAUUGCUCCUUUGUGAAGGCCCUCAGUCCAGGUUGCUGAUAUCUGACCUUGAACCAACAGUAGUUGGACAAGUUUCCUCGACUAUGAAAGGACAAAGGAACACGUCUUGCUUCGUGAGCGCCGCAUUAGGCAGUCGGCACAGCUCCGGCUGAGAAAUGGGUUUGACCCCGGCGGCGGUCUGAGGUGAGCCUCCGUGCGCCGGGGUCAGCUGAGCCGAGGUUGUGUGCUGACGGAGGCGGUCAGACUAGCCUGAGAAAAGAGCCAAAUGGAAGAAAGGAAUAAGGGAGGGGGAAAAAAAUCCUCCUAUAACAGCUGAAUGUGGGGGGGGGUCAAGAGGCGUAUUUCAUAACCCUCUGUGGACGCUCAGGGAAUUAGAAAUUUUCGCCACCAGAAUCAAAAUGUGUAUUACUCCUCUAUCUUUAUAGCAUCAAUCACCUGUAUUUAUUUUUUAUAUAAAUGCACAUUGAGAUAUAUGUUAUUAUGGAUGCAGAAAACAGCUGAUAGUCAGUAUGUCAUUUACGCUCGAUGACUGUUGACAUUGGGAACGCGAGCCUCUCGUUUCUGACGUAUCGCAUGGUGAGUGCUCCAGUGUUCAUGGAGGCAGAAUGAGUCCAGCCGCCUGUCGGGGUAACUGCAGGGUCAGAGGUCACGUUGCGAUACGGAUGGCGGAAGGAGAGCCGCUCCGGGCAGCAGUCUCAUGGCUCGCAACUCUUUGUGGGCGAAGGACGGGGCACGCCGACUGACUUGUUUUCUUAUUAGUUGCCCCCCCCGCUGCCUACGUGACUGUUAUCGUCCCGGCUUUUUCAGUCUGGAUGGGGCCCCAGUGGAUAGAGGGGAUGCAAAUCAUCCAACCGCGUGUACACGGAGGCCGACCCCUUGAGGAGAGGCAGAAGAUGCAAACCGAAACUGACCCGAUCUGAGGGGUCAAUUCUUACUCGUCAUAAUCUGCUUUCGCAUCCCAGAAGUUCCAACCGUUGACGUUUCCCUGUAGUUGCUGCAGUGUAAAAUCAACAUGUUACUCUUGUGUGAAAUACUGGUAUUUAUAGUGAAUGGAAAUAAAACCCAUUUCGACAAUAGCUACAAAGCUAUUGACUCUUUGUGUCCUGAUUGACAUGGAAACCUGUCUGCAUUCCUCUCCCAGGAAAUAACUAAACAAAAGCAAAGAAAAGGGUUCAGUUUAAGAGACUCCGCAUACAGCGCACACAUCUGGCAUCUGUUUCCUUUUGCAACUUUGCCAAAACUUUUUCAAGGAUAGUGAGGAGACUGGGACUGAUGUGUUCGAGCUCCAUUGGACUUCUGCAACAGGAAGGAAGAGGGAAACAGAUAAAGGAUGUGAACGCGCAGACACACAAAGCUGUUCAAUGGCAAUUACCGCGCCGUGCCUGGCACAGCUGACAGCGUGAGGGGAGCUCGCCCAACGUGUUUUAUUCUUGCAAAACAAAAGACAAAAGACACGAGCAACAUGUACAAGACCCCAACUGCCAAAGCAGCCCACAAACUGUAGCCUAUUGAUGGAAACAAGCCCGAGCUGAUGACCCCGUACAUGGACGCUAUGACCUCUCAUUAACCCCCGACAUUUUCCCAGGAAGGGUUGACAGCGAGUCAAAUAGAGACAUUAACAUUCCUUCUUGCUCGUCUCCCAAAGUCAAAUCUUUCAUCCCUACCUCGAUCAAGCCAGCAACGCGACACGCCGUCCUCUUGGACAACAACCUGGCAUUCCUUUCACUUCAACGCCAUUCCAGUCCCCCGAAGCGCUUCUUCGCAUCUCCACCAGCAGCUGGCAAACGGUGAACUGUGAGUCCCCUCGCUGCUUGUCUUUGCCCCCCGUCCAAAACACCCCACCGUCACAACCACCACCUCCGCCGCUUUUGUCACGGUGUCCCGCCACACCGGGAUUGCAGGAAGCGACGAGGGGAUCGGGGGGGAGCCGCGGUGUGGGCUGUGUCUCUCCGACGCCGCUACUAAUGAGCUGUAAUCUGGAGCAGCAGGAGGCGAUGCCUCCUCAAAGAAAUUGCCGUUGCUCGGUACAUUUGUUCUCUAAUGGCGGAGGCGGCGGCAGAGCAUAGGUGCUCAUUGCGGAGAACAAAGGGGAGCAGAGGGAGAAGGUGUUAGAAACAACUUUCGUGGGAGAUCAGGAGCUUCCUGUGAUGUGCAUCCGUGAGACUCAAAGCAGGAUGGCGGAAGUUGUAAAAAAAAAGUUCAAAAGUGGCUUCUCUAUUUGUCAAACGGGUGGGUCCAGGGAGCAAUGGGUGGGCCAUUGUUUCUCUUUUCCUGUGCGCAUUUUCCGACAAACUAGCUCUUGUUUCAUAAAAAGAUUCACCUACUCUGUCGGACUUCAGCCCAGCAGACCCCUCGCCGUCCCACCCCCCCACCAUGUGUGUCCUUGUGUUUCAUCACCCACAGGGGGUCGGUCUCCGACUUUUGCCAUCCGGCUCGGAUCUUAUCACAGAGGGAAACAAUGGAAAUGGGAAACAAAGCUGAGAGGUUUGCAAUUCAUUUAAAAAUAAAAAUACUUCUAUAUUAACCAUGUUAUUUAUCCACAGCCAUUAAAACAUCACACCACCUGUUUUAGAAACAAAAGGUCUGCCGAGAAGGAACGCUUUCAUUUCCAUUCAAACCUACCUCGGUGUCACAGGGGUACCAAAGAAAAAAUGCUUCGAAGGAGAAAGAUGAAACGAGGAGAAGGCAAAGAGGGAGGCUGAGCUGUAUCUUCCACCUCAGGGUAGCCUGCUAAAAGCUAUCUGUUCCCCUGGUGACCGAGCACAGCACACUUUCUGAGGUUGGAGAACUGAAGCUUAAGCUUGUGCACACACACACACACACACACACACACACACACACACACAUAUACACACAUAUACACACUGCUCCCUUGCCCUCAUCCGUCUUUUCACCAUCCAUUUUUCCCCUCCUCUUUCAAUCAUUUCCCAUACAGUAGCUUUGCACGGCCCCUUCACCCUGCCUGUCAACACUUCAUUAGCGAGCAUCUGUUAGUAAGUCAUUUCAUAUCUCUGCUGUAGAAAAAUGGGGCCUCCUUCCCUCUCUCCAGUCUGCUCAUCAAAUGGGGGAAAUAAGCCAGACCAGCCUCAGCCCCUUUUAUUACAUGUCAGCAUCUCUGCCUUUCUUUUUUUUUGUCUGGGGAAGAGCUUAUACCCCAGGCCAGAAAGGGAUGCAGCAGCAGGGGGGGGGGGGGGGGGGGAAAUGGAAGAUUAAUCAAUUGGGAGAGGAAAAGGAGGGAGCUCUGGGUAUCUCAUCCCUCAAACCACAGGUGUUUCUUUAAUACCUUGCUUUGUUGGAGGUGAUGAGGAAAUGAGCGGGGUGUAUUUUUUUCUCUCUGCUUUUUACUCUUUGUCUUCCCUCCAGGACUCCAGCAAAUUCUCUAGAUUUCUCUCCAUUUGAGACCAAGCCAAUUUCAUCCACACUUUGCAACAUAUGGCGAAGCCCCCCCCCACCCCCAAUAUGCCUGUCGCCGCGCGCACAAAGGCCACUUCCUUAAUAUAUUCUAGCUAUUACAGGAUUCAUCAAAAAUUAAAGCCGCAGUCGAAGGAAGGCUGCAGGGCAACACCAAACUCCUGAAGCGGGAUUCACGCUUCAGAUACAAGAUGGAGAUGAAAAUCUGGUGUGUUUUAUCAUAUUCAUACAGAAGCACACGUCCACAUAUGGUGGGAGGAAGCUCGGUUGCCCUGUUUGUAGCCGACAGGCUGUUAUGUGUGACUCACUUUGUUCAUAUUCAACAUGCCGAGCUGCUGCCACCCGCCCUCCUUUUCUUUCUCAUCUCACUUGAUGAUGAAUUCGAGUAAUAAAGGAGAUACAUUAGCAGAAGAUUGUCUUUUUUUCAUUUAACUGGGAGACAGAGAUAUAUUGAUCAUGUGGUGAGACAUCACAAUCCGUCUUGAAUUUCGACCGGUUAUACAUCAGCUGUGAUGUACAACCCUGGAUGUGGAAAUAUGUAUUCUUCUUCUUUAGCAUAACAUCAGAUAUUAGACCUUUUUAUGACCCUCAUACAGAUUUACUAUGCAAGCUGUUUUCCACCAGGAAUCCCUGGAUUUCAUGAGAAAAGCAUCCUAACCGUGCACCACGCAGAUUUACUGUUGCUUCGCUUCAUAUCCAAUGCUCUCAGAAACCUGGCAUCACGUCCUCCUUUUUGUCAGGGGAUAGCUGUGCUUAUAAAUCCUGCUGACGGAUCUUUGAUACUUAUUCCCCCUGCAACACAGGUGAGUCCCUCAGCAGCAUCUUAUGCAUCCUCUCUGGUGCCCAAUGCAAUUUGCAUUAUAGCACGGUGUCUUUUUAUUCCGGGUUAUAGUAUAAAGACCAGACUAAAAACAGACCAGUUUGAGAGGUAAUCUGGACCACAGAAAAAGAAAGAAGGCGAUUAUGUGGGGAAACGGUGGGGUAUCAUGUGGGAUCUUCAGCGGCAGGGGAGCACCUGCGCACAACUGACCUGCUGUAUGUGUCUGUUAAAUCCCCCCCCCCCCUCUCCACCACCCCCAGGUACCAGCGAAGCGUGUGUUUAUGUGAGUGCAUACGGCGUGAAAGCGCGGUGUUAGAAUCUUGUUGACUGAGUCUGCACACCUGUCUGCAUUUGCAGGACAAGGAGAUCGGUUUGUGUGCACUUGUGACAGAGUGUGUGUGUGUGUGUGUGUGUGUGUGUGUCCAGAGGUUUCCAGACUGGGAGGAAUAGACAUACACAGGUCAAGCCUGAAGGCAGCUAGGGGGAUGUGGGCACCAGGCUGUGACCACCAACAGUUUUUGGAGGGCUUUACUGCAUCGUUCCCUUUCCUUUUCAUCCCUUUCCUCGACAUCGUCCCCCUGUUCGGUGCGAGCGAGGACACAGAUGGUCUCAGUCUAUCUGCCAUGUCUGUCCGGCAGCAGGAACAUUUCCCCGUUAACUGUUCUUGGCUCAACAGGCGGUCCUAUACUUCCUACACUGCAUGCUGGCAGUAAAUAGGUAGUUCAAAAUACUUACAUGACACAUAUUGAACACUCGCGAGUCCGUACGAAAAAUCAACAUUUUGAUUAAGUGCUUAUUAGAUCUCUACAACGGUCAAAGUCAUUGAUGUGAGCAGCUUAUUGGUGUGAACGAAAAAGGCAUGAAGUCUUAGUUGAGAGCCGUCCCGCACGUGUCCGAAUUUCACGGCCUGCCACAGAUCCACGGUGUCAAGAGACAGGCGGCGGCGCCCAGAGCGGCGGCAGACACACACGCACACACACAAGCAGACGGACAAAGAGGGACUUGAUCGUUGUCGAUGUGUGGAAACACAUCGACAAAAAAAACUUUUUUUUUCAAACCAUUAAACCCAAUUAUAUCGUAAGUCACCAUUACCUAAACAGGACAACUUCCGUUUGUCCUCCAAGAGAACUAAGCCGGAUUUAUCUAUGUGUAAAAUCUGCUCUGCUCUCAUCCAAAGCACAUUGUUUUGAACCUUUGCAAGCUCCCGCUUUUCCAUAGCUGGGGGGAGCGGAGGAAACCACAUUUUUGGAUGGAAUCCAUUUUGUCUGUCAGCUAAAGGAGGACAUGUUCCUCACUUAUCAAUGGGAAGGCAUUUGUGAGGGAGACAGUAGCCGUCCUAGAUCUCAAGGCAUCAUGUGUUUAUUUUUGUGUUUGCGUAACUAUAAUAUUUACACACGUGCACGGAAGUCAACUUUUUAUUUAUGUGACAAGAUCUCUGUCCGGCCGCCUUACGUAGAGAAAUACAUCUACUGAACCAUCCUUUGUUUCUGGCUGAACAUAAGGGGAGUUGAUUUAAAUGAGUUCCUAAAUGAUAUAUAAAGCAGUAAAUCUUCAUGCAUGGAGAGCUGCGGAAACCACACAAGGACUGCCAGGUGAAAAUAAAAGGGGGGGGUGGAGGGACAAUGUUAUUUACGGUGACGAUGACACUCUUUUUUCCAGUCCAGGGGAAACGAUGGGCGAGCUCCAAGUACACACAGCAGGUAAUGAGGAGACGUCUGCAGGGAGAACUUUCCAUUCACCAGUUAAUUGUAAAACUGUGACACACUUUUGUACGCGUGUAAAAAAAACACACACACAUUCACAAAGCAGCACCGAACACAACGAUUCACAGCAUUAAAAGCUUGCUUUAUUAUUAGGGAAAUGCGAAUAUUUGUAAUGAGAAAUUCUGGCAACAUCUGAGCCGUAAGAAGCCUUUGCAAUAAACACUCGGCCAACGCGUCACCGGCUACAUGCUGAGCGGCUGCAAAGCGAGGCAGAUAGGUGUCAUAGAUCAUAUUCAUGCCCCACAUCUUGAAAGCCAUAUCAAUAUUCCACGUCCAUCCAAGUGUCUGGCCAUGAGAGAUGAUUGAUGCCUUUCUGCGGCCGUGGUUGGAAACAGAGCCCGGGGAGACGCGGGGGCGGCGUUGAGUGAGCACGCCUGCCUGUACAACACAGAACUCCAUUUACCCACAACACAAGCACAAGACGGAUCACUCCGCCGGCCCCGGCGUUAACCACGGUGUACGCGCACGUGUGUGUCGCCGUUGAUGGAUUCGCCGGGAACACGCAGGUGGGGGAUUCGCCGACGCCUGGGUGAUUCUGUGGACAACAUUUGAAAUGUGGAUUGAUAAUGUAUUCGUUUUGGUCGGGGCUGCAGAUAUUACUGCUCCCUAAUGGCACUUUAGACGAUUGUUAAUGUUUAGUAUUCUGAAGUCAGCCCACCAGAUUAAUUAUUCACAAAAAAAAACAUUACAUACAUAUGAUCCAUUUCAGGGUUCCUCUAUGCAAAAUGGAAAAAGCGAGGCUGUGGAUUUAUAAUUACAAUCAUUUGUUUUUGAUGGUUGCAGCGUGUCAGCACACAAAGUAUACAAUAUUAAUGCAUGGAGGAACAAUUCAAUCAUCGUGUUGGAGGUGGGAUAUUGCAAAAGUAUACAGUCAUUGACUUUAUAUAAUAUAAUAUUAGUGAAGGUAUUACUUAACUAUCCUUCACUACAGAUCUAUUUCAUCAGUCAGAGACUAAAAAACCCGACCAGCUUUCCAGUGGACCUGUAUGCGUGUUUUGAACACAUUUGGAUGCAUCUGUGAGAGUCACAAAUAUAAAACAUUUAUAAAGUGGCGUCAGUGAAGACAUAUGGCAGGUAAUUUACAAUGCAGCAUGCGUAAUACUCAAUUUAUUUUAAAGAGGCAUUACUCUUUUCGCAUUGCACCUGUAAAACUUGUAGCUUUGCCCUAAAAGAAAAGAUAUGUGAUAUGUAUCAUCUGCAUUUUUGUUUUCAUUUAUUUACAUCUUCAUACUGCGAUAUUACAUUGAUAUACAUUAUGUUAUGUUUAAGCUGCCUUUGCUGAGCUUAGAUAUCAGUUCAUCAGUCCUUGAGUUUUAAUUAUUUUGAUGCUUAACUUUCAGGGGUGUUCACCUGAGACUUUCUAUUUGACAUGUUGUACUAUGUACUCAUUAGCAAGUGCCUAUACUAUUUCAAGUGUUGAUUCUUUAUUAUGUUACGCACUUUUUCAGCUUCUCCGGUGCUCAGUGAUCAUGCAUCCCUUUCGGUUUUCAAUCUCCUCCAUCUUUCCUUUCCGCUGGCAGCAUGUCAAUUCUGGAAUUUUCCAUUUUCCUGCGCUGCUUUACAUGCCCUCUAUUUGCCCUCGGCGCCUUUCCCCCCUUCAGAGAUCUCCUGACUGAGUCACCUGCCUUCCCAGCUGGUAUGAGGAGCUAUUGCCGUUUUUCAGCGACUGCACAUUUAGACUAAAAGCCCGUCUGGAACCAAUUUCACCCACGUGUACCUGUUAUCACUGACUCCCACACAAAUACACUGUACGCACAACUUGGAAGGACAUAGAGAGAAGAUAGUGUGUCUGUGUGUGUGUGUGUGUGUGUGUGUGUGUGUGUGUGUGUGUGAAGGGGGGGUUGCGUGCUACCAAAUGAGUUCGAAGACAAAACAAAAAACAAUAGAGAAAAGAGAAAGCUAUGCUUCUAUUACGGAGCCUGAAGCCCUCGUCUCAGCAUACCAACUCAUUCCUUUCACUUAGAUAUUCAACCAAUGUUCUUUGCUGCCUUGUUUAGUUGUGUGCCCGCAAAACAAAGGAGGGCUGGCAGAGUUUCAGCGAGAUGCACAGUUUUUCCUACAGUAUCGUCUCUUUGGUGCGAUGUGUUUUGUUGGAUAGUGUGCAAAUGACAGUUAUAAGUAAAGAGUUACGAGCUUCUACGUGGCAGAUUUAUGUGACCACAACUCCCUCUCCACAUGUUUCCUGUUUCUCCUUAAGUACACCUAAUCGCAAUUAAAAACGGUCCUAUUGGAGAACAGAACUUCUUAAAGACACAUUCACUCUUCAAACAAAGAAGCCAUUUAGAAAAAGGCAUUUACACGUUAUAUAGGGAGAAAACAGCCCCCGGUUAAUGGAGGGGUUGCGUAUCCCGAACCAACACGGUGCAGUUUGUGGAAUAGGGGAAAAAAGGAUGCUACUGCCAAUGUGCCCCUAAGCAAGGCACCCAACCUUUUAUGGCUCGGAAACCCAUCAAUUAGAAAUUUCUUGAUGCAUGUAUUUGAU